GACGAACGCUGGCGGCGUGCUUAACACAUGCAAGUCGAACGGAAAGGCCCUGCUUUUGUGGGGUGCUCGAGUGGCGAACGGGUGAGUAACACGUGAGUAACCUGCCCUUGACUUUGGGAUAACUUCAGGAAACUGGGGCUAAUACCGGAUAGGAGCUCCUGCUGCAUGGUGGGGGUUGGAAAGUUUCGGCGGUUGGGGAUGGACUCGCGGCUUAUCAGCUUGUUGGUGGGGUAGUGGCUUACCAAGGCUUUGACGGGUAGCCGGCCUGAGAGGGUGACCGGCCAAAUUGGGACUGAGAUACAGCCCAGACUCCUAAGGGAGGCAGCAGUGGGGAAUAUUGCACAAUGGGCGGAAGCCUGAUGCAGCAACGCCGCGGGCGGGAUGACGGCCUUCGGGUUGUAAACCGCUUUCGCCUGUGACGAAGCGUGAGUGAAGGUAAUGGGUAAAGAAGCACCGGCUAACUACGUG
Molecule: ribosomal RNA, 468 nt
Filed under: uncultured bacterium
Lineage: Bacteria
Description: partial 16S ribosomal RNA
Rfam family: Bacterial small subunit ribosomal RNA
Source: RNAcentral